UUGGUUGUUGUUGUGGUCCUUGAGUGUGAUUUGUUUUUAAAGCUGCGAGUAACGUGUCGGUCCUCGCUCCUCUCAGGCUCUCUUGGAGGCUUUGCAGAGAGGUCUCAGCGCAUCCAUUUUCUUAAGAUCCUCUCCUCUCGCGACAAGAAUCUGGGGCCCCUGAAGGCGCCUCGGUGCUGGGAAGCGGCGACUGGGCUCUCGGAGGGGUGUGCACAGUGGCCGUGGGAGCUCCCGGGUGGUGGUGGCGGCGGCGGUUCUCCUGGGCUGGACGCGGUGAGGGGAGCAAGCCGAUUUUCCCAGCAAGAUCUCCAUGUACAGCUACAUCUUUAGGGCCGCUCGGGUUAAUAUAUGUCGUCAGAGGCUCCUCACGCCAAUCCCGGGGCGGCGGGGGCGGCGCCUCGCGCUCUCCGCAAUAAAACUUUUUGAUGUUCACGUUGCUAAUUGCCGAGGUCCUCUUCUAGGAUUGGUUGUCCACUCAUAACCAUAAGAUAAUUAAAACGGGGGGGGGGCAGGGUUAAAAAAAAACUUUUUAUCAGCCAUAGGUUAAUGCAAGUGUUUAACAGAUGCUUCACUAUUAAAACACCCCCCCCCCCAAUAUUGAAGAAUCUCAAACCAGCUACCCCAAACACAGACUUUGGAGGUUUUCAAAGUGGGGCACCUCGAUUUCUCGAAUCUGUGGUGUGGCGAGUACCCGUGUUCCGCUGGUUUAACUAGCCUGUUUGAAGGCAUAGCCGAUUCUUCAGCAAGAACAACGAAACCAGCCUUCUUCACCUCCUGGGGGAUUUUCUUUUGCCCUCUACAGCAGAGUGUGACUUCAGACAGAAACUUCAGAUUGGCCAAGGCAGGUCUGUCUGAUUCUAUUCUAAAGACCAAGUUGGAGAUGAGCUGUCAUUGGUGUUGACCGAGUCCAUACAGUCGUGGGAGAGAGUCCUUGUUGCCAAGUCUGAUGACGCCGGAACCUGCAUGAUACAAAGAGAGCUGACUCCAGAAAGUUGCCCUCAGAUCUUCACAUAUCACUGUGGUAUGUGUUGCAGGCACCUAUCCAGUCCUGCACACAAUGUAUUAAAACUAUU
Long non-coding RNA from Peromyscus maniculatus bairdii (prairie deer mouse), 1073 nucleotides. RefSeq lists it as uncharacterized. The record is from RefSeq and is a predicted model, not a curated record. Lineage: Eukaryota; Metazoa; Chordata; Mammalia; Rodentia; Cricetidae.